RNAcentral lists this transfer RNA (63 nucleotides) under Lordithon arcuatus. Its description in RNAcentral is "tRNA-Arg". Lineage: Eukaryota; Metazoa; Arthropoda; Insecta; Coleoptera; Staphylinidae. The record is from RNAcentral.
AAAUAAGAAACAAUUUUUGUAUUUAGUUUCGACCUAAAAUUUGGUGGCGGACACCCUUAUUUA